This 468-nucleotide ribosomal RNA is filed under the name uncultured bacterium. RNAcentral describes it as "partial 16S ribosomal RNA". It matches the Rfam family "Bacterial small subunit ribosomal RNA", at positions 28 to 507 of the family's 1533-position model. The record is from RNAcentral.
GACGAACGCUGGCGGCGUGCUUAACACAUGCAAGUCGAACGGAAAGGCCCUGCUUUUGUGGGGUGCUCGAGUGGCGAACGGGUGAGUAACACGUGAGUAACCUGCCCUUGACUUUGGGAUAACUUCAGGAAACUGGGGCUAAUACCGGAUAGGAGCUCCUGCUGCAUGGUGGGGGUUGGAAAGUUUCGGCGGUUGGGGAUCGACUCGCGGCUUAUCAGCUUGUUGGUGGGGUAGUGGCUUACCAAGGCUUUGACGGGUAGCCGGCCUGAGAGGGUGACCGGCCACAUUGGGACUGAGAUACGGCCCAGACUCCUACGGGAGGCAGCAGUGGGGAAUAUCGCACAAUGGGCGGAAGCCUGAUGCAGCAACGCCGCGUGCGGGAUGACGGCCUUCGGGUUGUAAACCGCUUUCGCCUGUGACGAAGCGUGAGUGACGGUAAUGGGUAAAGAAGCACCGGCUAACUACGUG